GGGGGAUAUUGCGCAAUGGGGGCAACCCUGACGCAGCAACGCCGCGUGAAGGAUGAAGGUUUUCGGAUUGUAAACUUCUUUUAUUAAGGACGAAAAAUGACGGUACUUAAUGAAUAAGCUCCGGCUAACUACGUGCCAGCAGCCGCGGUAAUACGUAGGGAGCAAGUGUUGUCCGGAUUUACUGGGUGUAAAGGGUGCGUAGGCGGCUUUGCAAGUCAGAUGUGAAAUCUAUGGGCUCAACCCAUAAACUGCAUUUGAAACUGUAGAGCUUGAGUGAAGUAGAGGCAGGCGGAAUUCCCCGUGUAGCGGUGAAAUGCGUAGAGAUGGGGAGGAACACCAGUGGCGAAGGCGGCCUGCUGGGCUUUAACUGACGCUGAGGCACGAAAGCGUGGGUAGCAAACAGGAUUAGAUACCCUGGUAGUCCACGCUGUAAACGAUGAUUACUAGGUGUGGGGGGUCUGACCCCUUCCGUGCCGGAGUUAACACAAUAAGUAAUCCACCUGGGGAGUACGGCCGCAAGGUUGAAACUCAAAGGAAUUGACGGGGGCCCGCACAAGCAGUGGAGUAUGUGGUUUAAUUCGAAGCAACGCGAAGAACCUUACCAGGUCUUGACAUCCAACUAACGAAGUAGAGAUACAUUAGGUGCCCUUCGGGGAAAGUUGAGACAGGUGGUGCAUGGUUGUCGUCAGCUCGUGUCGUGAGAUGUUGGGUUAAGUCCCGCAACGAGCGCAACCCUUGCUAUUAGUUGCUACGCAAGAGCACUCUAAUAGGACUGCCGUUGACAAAACGGAGGAAGGUGGGGACGACGUCAAAUCAUCAUGCCCCUUAUGACCUGGGCUACACACGUACUACAAUGGAUGUUAACAGAGGGAAGCAAGACAGCGAUGUGGAGCAAACCCCUAAAAACAUUCUCAGUUCAGAUUGCAGGCUGCAACCCGCCUGCAUGAAGAUGGAAUUGCUAGUAAUCGCGGAUCAGCAUGCCGCGGUGAAUACGUUCCCG
Molecule: ribosomal RNA, 1000 nt
Filed under: uncultured bacterium
Lineage: Bacteria
Also listed under: 1 other name
Description: bacterial SSU rRNA
Rfam family: Bacterial small subunit ribosomal RNA
Source: RNAcentral